Molecule: unclassified non-coding RNA, 348 nt
Filed under: soil metagenome
Description: partial contains 5.8S ribosomal RNA, internal transcribed spacer 2, and large subunit ribosomal RNA
Rfam family: 5.8S ribosomal RNA (bases 1-120)
Source: RNAcentral
GAUGAAGAACGCAGCGAAAUGCGAUAACUAGUGUGAAUUGCAGAUUUCAGUGAAUCAUCGAGUCUUUGAACGCACAUUGCGCCCCCUGGUAUUCCGGGGGGCAUGCCUGUCCGAGCGUCAUUGCUGCCCUCAAGCACGGCUUGUGUGUUGGGCCCCGCCCCCCGGCUCCCGGGGGGCGGGCCCGAAAGGCAGCGGCGGCACCGCGUCCGGUCCUCGAGCGUAUGGGGCUUCGUCACCCGCUCCGUAGGCCCGGCCGGCGCCCGCCGGCGACCCCCCUCAAUCUUUUCAGGUUGACCUCGGAUCAGGUAGGGAUACCCGCUGAACUUAAGAAUAUCAAUAAGCGGAGGA